UUGAUAAAUUUCAUGUAAUUUACUCAACCGUUUCUCUACUGUUGGAUGUUUAGGUUGUGUCCAGUUUUUUGAUAUAAUCACAACCCAUGUUUGUUGAGCAUGGACUGUGUGCUCAGCACUGUCAUGGACAUUUCCCUUGCAGUAAUUUGUUUACCCCUAAAAACAUCCUGGUGGGAAAAGUGGUUUUAUUAUCCCCAUUUUACAGAUGAAAAAACUGAGGCCCAAAGUUAGAGCAGGAUUUAAACCCAUGAAGUUUGACCCAGAGCCUGUUUUGUAAUCAUGCCUCUGCUAUUUCUCACAUCAUCAUGCCUGCCCAUAUUCUGGAUGGUUUCCUUAGGAUAGAAUCCCGGAAGUGAAAAUGGGUCAGUGCAGCCAUAGUGUACACCUAGAAGGGAGUGGCUGGGGUCAGGAGAGGGCGUUGGCUGAAGGGGUUAAGGAAUGGAGGGGCCAAGGUAAUGGGAGGAUCAUCCACAUGGAAGUUGAAGUCACCAAGAAUUGAACCAGGAGUGAUUUUGGAGAAAGUGCUGGUGAGCCAGGAGCUAAAAACCCUUACAGAUGACAGGGCGCAGCCUGGGAGCCUUCCAGAAGUAGAGGUUGGUACAGAAGCAUGAUGUAAGGGGAAGAACAGUCCAGGGAACAGCAGUGAGGAGCAAGGAGGACACAUACCAGCCUCCAGGUCCAUGGUCCAUGGGAUACGGGAGGGGAAAUCGCCACCCGUGGGGCCAUGGGAAGUUUCAGAGAUUAGAGAGGGGUGGGAGAUGAGUCAGACCAGGCAAGCGCCCAGCUGUGAGGUCUGGAGACCGGGCUCACACAGGAGCCUGCACUUGUGGAGGUUACCAAGGCACAGACAAAGGACGUCGUGAUUUAGCUGCUAAUGGGCCAAGACAGAUAGUGAUGGUGAGGCAUACGUUCUGGGGACAGGAGGGGUGGAGCCUGCGCGGAUGUGGUGCCGUCUUCACUUCUGCUAGUGGGACCGAUGAAACUGUGAAAUAAAAAGUCCAGGGACCGGGGCAGGGCCCUGGGGUUCCUGGAGAUGACUUCCAAGGGGAAGUUCAUGGAGAAGUCAGGGAAGGAGUGGGGAGAGCCUGUUCGGUGGUGACAGAGGUAUAGAGGCCAUGGGCUCUCUUGGACACCAUUUGAUUCUCAGGUCACACUGAAGUACAGCAAGCAUUAAGUAGAGUAAACAUCGCUAUUGUUGCUUGGGAAAGAAUUGCAGUUUCCAUCCAGAUAAUUUGUUUCAUGAGGAAUUUUGUACUAGAAAAAAUUACUUUGUAUUAUUAAAAAAUAGUAAAACAAACAAAAAUGGUGCAAAGGGCUUAGUACUUGUCCCACGACCGGGGUCUGACUUUCCCCCUCACGAUCCUGUGGUGCCCACAGCGAACCCAUCCUACGUGCCUCCACCCCAGUGCCAGCCGGGCGAGUUUGCCUGUGCAAACAGCCGCUGCAUCCAGGAGCGCUGGAAGUGUGACGGAGACAACGAUUGCCUGGACAACAGUGAUGAGGCCCCAGCCCUCUGCCAUCAGCACACCUGCCCCUCGGACCGAUUCAAGUGCGAGAACAACCGGUGCAUCCCCAACCGCUGGCUCUGCGACGGGGACAAUGACUGUGGGAACAGUGAAGAUGAGUCCAAUGCCACUUGUUCAGGUGUGGAGUGGGGCUCAGAUCACACGAGGCACCCCUCAGUCAAGGAGGCAGGGGAGACGAGGGGGCCAGGUUCAGUGGCUCAUGCCUAUAAUCUCAGCACUUUGGGAGGCCGAGGUGAGAGGAUCACUUGAGCCCAGGAGCUCAAGACCAGCCUGGCCAACAUAGUGAGACCUCCCACUCUUUACAAAAAAAAUUUUAAAAAA
RNAcentral lists this small RNA (1847 nucleotides) under Pan troglodytes (chimpanzee). RNAcentral describes it as "retained intron". Lineage: Eukaryota; Metazoa; Chordata; Mammalia; Primates; Hominidae. The record is from RNAcentral.